This 234-nucleotide unclassified non-coding RNA is filed under the name uncultured Botryobasidiaceae. Its description in RNAcentral is "sequence contains ITS2". Lineage: Eukaryota; Fungi; Basidiomycota; Agaricomycetes; Cantharellales. The record is from RNAcentral.
UAUCAUCAAGCCUGGACCCCUCUGGGGUCCUACGCUUGGACUUGGAUGUGCUGCCGGACGGCGACGCCCGGCUCAUCCCAAAUGCAUUAGCCGGACUUUGCUUCCCCCUCUGGGCUUUGGACUUUUGUUCUCACUCGGCGUGAUAAGGUCACCCGUCGAGGACGUCCCUCGCCUGCUGUUGGGAGCCUGGCUUCGAACCGUCCCCCCCCUCUCGGGACAAAUCGCUUUGACAAU